Molecule: non-coding RNA, 254 nt
Organism: Leptonychotes weddellii (Weddell seal)
Lineage: Eukaryota; Metazoa; Chordata; Mammalia; Carnivora; Phocidae
Source: RefSeq, a predicted model, not a curated record
CCGGGCAUGGAGCCGCCGGCCGCGCGCCCCUGAGCCCCGCGGCGUUCAUGGAAUAUGAAGACAAGGCUGGACGACCUAGCAAGCCACCCUCUCCAAAGCAGAAUGUGAGGAAGAAUCUUGAUUUUGAGCCACUGUCCACCACCGCACUCAUCCUGGAAGACAGACCAGCAAACCUCCCAGCGAAGCCAGCUGAAGAAGCUCAGAAACACAGGCAGCAGUAUGAAGAAAUGGUGGUUCAGGCCAAGAAACGAGGU